RNAcentral lists this long non-coding RNA (225 nucleotides) under Jatropha curcas. RNAcentral's name for it is "long non-coding RNA (JCUR_LNC002234)". Lineage: Eukaryota; Viridiplantae; Streptophyta; Magnoliopsida; Malpighiales; Euphorbiaceae. The record is from RNAcentral.
AAUCCCUCGGGGAGGCAUAAAAAAUCAGGUCUUGAAGAGCCUCAUCUUUGAAGUGGGAAUGGUCAAAUAGAGAGAAAAAAUCAUAAUAUGUGAAAGGUUCACCGAUUGAAUACAAAGUUUAACCCACCCACUCUAUUUCCAAAAUUUCCACAAUUGCAAUUGUUUGGAAUGCAAGGGACGUCAGCAAUGGCCCCACGCAUAGACGUCUCGACGAUCUUGCUCGGA